RNAcentral lists this ribosomal RNA (301 nucleotides) under uncultured bacterium. RNAcentral describes it as "partial 16S ribosomal RNA". It matches the Rfam family "Bacterial small subunit ribosomal RNA", at positions 509 to 807 of the family's 1533-position model. The record is from RNAcentral.
CAGUCGCCGCGGGAAUACGUAGGGUGCGAGCGUUAAUCGGAAUUACUGGGCGUAAAGCGUGCGCAGGCGGUUUUGUAAGACAGGCGUGAAAUCCCCGGGCUCAACCUGGGAAUGGCGCUUGUGACUGCAAAGCUAGAGUGCGGCAGAGGGGGAUGGAAUUCCGCGUGUAGCAGUGAAAUGCGUAGAUAUGCGGAGGAACACCGAUGGCGAAGGCAGCCCCCUGGGCCAAUACUGACGCUCAUGCACGAGAGCGUGGGGAGCAAACAGGAUUAGAUACCCCUGUAGUCCCUGUCUCUUAUAC